RNAcentral lists this transfer RNA (73 nucleotides) under Acidobacteriota bacterium. RNAcentral describes it as "tRNA-Ile". It matches the Rfam family "tRNA". Rfam says of the family: Transfer RNA (tRNA) molecules are approximately 80 nucleotides in length. Their secondary structure includes four short double-helical elements and three loops (D, anti-codon, and T loops). Further hydrogen bonds mediate the characteristic L-shaped molecular structure. tRNAs have two regions of fundamental functional importance: the anti-codon, which is responsible for specific mRNA codon recognition, and the 3' end, to which the tRNAs corresponding amino acid is attached (by aminoacyl-tRNA synthetases). tRNAs cope with the degeneracy of the genetic code in two manners: having more than one tRNA (with a specific anti-codon) for a particular amino acid; and 'wobble' base-pairing, i.e. permitting non-standard base-pairing at the 3rd anti-codon position. RNAcentral also lists the same sequence under 2 other names. Lineage: Bacteria; Pseudomonadati; Acidobacteriota. The record is from RNAcentral.
GGGCCCAUAGCUCAGCGGUUAGAGCGGCCGGCUCAUAACUGGUUGGUCCCUGGUUCGAAUCCAGGUGGGCCCA